ACACGACUACAUUAGAUACCCGUGUAGUCCUAGCCGUAAACGAUACUCGCUAGGUGUCGGCCACGGUGCGACCGUUGUCGGGUGCCGUAGGGAAGCCGUGAAGCGAGCCACCUGGGAAGUACGGUCGCAAGGCUGAAACUUAAGGAAUUGGCGGGGAGCACCACAACAGGUGGAGCCUGCGGUUUAAUUGGAUUCAACGCCGGACAUCUCACCGGAUAAGACAGCUGAAUGAUUGUCAAUCUGAAGGUUUUACAUGACUAGCUG
RNAcentral lists this ribosomal RNA (264 nucleotides) under uncultured archaeon. RNAcentral's name for it is "partial 16S ribosomal RNA". It matches the Rfam family "Archaeal small subunit ribosomal RNA", at positions 719 to 982 of the family's 1478-position model. The record is from RNAcentral.